CGAUUAGACGUGGGUCACCUCCUCCCGGCCCAAGUCACAGCGCCGGACCUCACUCCUCCUCCCAGAGGUCCGACCACAUAGGAAACGGCGCCGCUCACCUCCUCCCGAGCGGCGCCGUUUUU
RNAcentral lists this small RNA (122 nucleotides) under Aliiroseovarius pelagivivens. RNAcentral describes it as "Alphaproteobacterial ar14". It matches the Rfam family "Alphaproteobacterial ar14". Rfam says of the family: Smr14C2 was renamed NfeR1 (Nodule Formation Efficiency RNA) highly expressed in salt stress and during the symbiotic interaction on legume roots. The record is from Rfam by way of RNAcentral. Lineage: Bacteria; Pseudomonadati; Pseudomonadota; Alphaproteobacteria; Rhodobacterales; Paracoccaceae.